RNAcentral lists this ribosomal RNA (790 nucleotides) under uncultured archaeon. Its description in RNAcentral is "bacterial SSU rRNA". It matches the Rfam family "Archaeal small subunit ribosomal RNA", at positions 85 to 879 of the family's 1478-position model. The record is from RNAcentral.
ACGGCUCAGUAACACGUGGAUAACCUACCCUAAGGUGGGAGAUAACUCCGGGAAACUGGGGAUAAUACCCCAUAGUCUAUGGAAGCUGGAAUGCUCUAUAGUUGAAAAGAUUUAUCGCCUUAGGAUGGGUCUGCGGCCGAUUAGGUAGUUGUUGGGGUAACGGCCCAACAAGCCUUUGAUCGGUACGGGUUGUGGGAGCAAGAGCCCGGAGAUGGAUUCUGAGACACGAAUCCAGGCCCUACGGGGCGCAGCAGGCGCGAAAACUUUACAAUGCGGGAAACCGUGAUAAGGGAACUCCGAGUGCCCGUAAACGCGGGCUGUCCAUCUGCUUAAAAAACAGGUGAAGAAAGGGCCGGGCAAGACCGGUGCCAGCCGCCGCGGUAAUACCGGCGGCUCGAGUGGUGGCCACUAUUACUGGGCUUAAAGCGUCCGUAGCUUGGUUGUUAAGUCUCUUGGGAAAUCUGUCGGCUUAACCGACAGGCGUUUAAGGGAUACUGGCAAUCUAGGGACCGGGAGAGGUGAGAGGUACUCCAGGGGUAGGAGUGAAAUCCUGUAAUCCUUGGGGGACCACCUGUGGCGUAGGCGUCUCACCAGAACGGCUCCGACAGUGAGGGACGAAAGCUGGGGGAGCAAACCGGAUUAGAUACCCGGGUAGUCCCAGCCGUAAACGAUGCGCGUUAGGUGUAUCGGUGACCACGAGUCACCGAGGUGCCGAAGGGAAACCGUGAAACGUGCCGCCUGGGAAGUACGGUCGCAAGGCUGAAACUUAAAGGAAUUGGCGGGGGAGCAC